ACAGGGCCUCCCUUCAUCCACUACCUAUUAGUGAAGAUCCAUUCAGCAGAGUAUCUGUUGACAUUAUAGUUGUGCAGGCACUUUGGUGACUCUAGAGAACCUCGGGCCAAUCACAUGUCCCCGUGAUGGUGACUUUGCAUUCGGAUGUCUGCCUUAUCGACUUUCAAUGCCACUUUCAGCGCCUACUAUGGUGACCACGAGUAACGAGGAAUCAGGGUUCGAUUCCG
Pelobates cultripes (western spadefoot toad) is the source of this 227-nucleotide non-coding RNA. NCBI's taxonomy places the organism in Eukaryota, Metazoa, Chordata, Amphibia, Anura, Pelobatidae. The record is from the annotation of a GenBank genome assembly.